CAAAAGUUAGUUUAUAAAGAAUGUUGGCUUUGGGGGCUUAGGGAAUUAUCUUUUGA
Molecule: transfer RNA, 56 nt
Filed under: Unionicola foili
Lineage: Eukaryota; Metazoa; Arthropoda; Arachnida; Trombidiformes; Unionicolidae
Description: tRNA-Pro
Source: RNAcentral